This is a long non-coding RNA of Neltuma alba, 95 nucleotides long. RefSeq lists it as uncharacterized. NCBI's taxonomy places the organism in Eukaryota, Viridiplantae, Streptophyta, Magnoliopsida, Fabales, Fabaceae. The record is from RefSeq and is a predicted model, not a curated record. The transcript is spliced from 3 exons.
UUAAUGUUGAUCACGCUUUUUAUUCGUGACUUCAGUCGUGCUUGUUAUUCGUGGCUUUAGUCGCACUUGUUAUUCGUGGCUUCAGUUGGUCUUGA